CGCAAUUGUCGCCGUGAACGAGGAAGAUUCUUCAUUCCAUUGUUGAAGCCCAAGAAUAACCAUGCGUCUCGUGUACGUCGGUCACGUGUACGUGUUGUGAAUAUUUUUUGUAGCACGAGGUAUUGUGAAGUGGGGCAGCAUAAGACUUGUGUUCCAUAUAAAUGGAGAAGGAUCUAAGGUUAAAAGAGUAAAACGAUAACCUGCUGCUGUACACACAAGAGUGGCGUCAUUAAUAGAGACUCUGACUCAUUUCAAAGAAAUGUGGAGAUUGUAAAUAGUAAAAUGAUUUUCUUCUUAAAUUUUGAUAUGUACCUCUAUAAAUGUAAGUUUUAAUGUUGAUAAUGCACACCUAUGAAUGUAAACCUGUGUCACAUUUCUUUAUUGUUUAUAAAAAAGAUUUCGUGAUUUGUUAUUACAGCCAUUUUGUAUUAUUUCAGCUUUGAGAUUAUAAAUUUUAAGCUGUUUUUUAGUUAAGCUAUUUUUAACAUGUUUGAUGGUAACGGAGCAUACUAUGUAAAUUGUGGUGUAUUCGGACUUGUUUAUUGUAUUAUUGUUAGUGUGUUACCAAUCAAUUCUUAUUUGCAAUUAUUAUUUGGGGUUUAAAACUUUAAAUUUGUAAAACUUCUGUGCUUCUAUUGAUAGUAGGAUAAUAAUUUCAGCGUGGUGUUAGUUAUUUAUGUUAAGUAUUUAUUCUCUAGAGAUUAACUUUUUUGAAACCUUUUACAGUCAAGACCCAUACCGACAAGCCAUGUCCUCAAGAAACUUGCCUUUGUUGCAUUGUUUUUCUUUAAGAUUGUGUUUAACUGUAAAUAGCGUAAAACAGUCACUUUUUAAACAUGAAAUAUUUUUCUUGGUAUAGGAAAACUUUUCCUGAAGACAAUGGUCUAGAUACAAGUGUUUCCAAUGACAAUUAGAGAUUUUUUUAAUUUUAAUCUUUGAUGGGUUUAUUGUAAUACAAUGAAGUGUUUAACUCAUUUACUCAAUAAUUAAUUCAUCAACGCACAGCCCAAAUCGUUGGAUCUAGACCAAUGGGUUUUUUUAGCAAAUUUUUCAAUUUUGCAAAAUUUGUUAAGAGGGUGAAAGGCAGUAGAAUGUUUUUUUCUUUUCUUUCCCUUAAAUUACCUAAUGUACCGAGGUGUUAUUUUCUUAAGAAUGAGGUUUAUUUAAAUACCUAAAGUAUUUUCAGAAAUUUUCUAAAUUCAAACUUUUAAGCCGUUAAAAAAAUUGGUUGUCUGUAAAGUCGGUUUACGGACGAUAGUUUAACGUGACAACGUCAUAACAAAACAUUGAUGAAAUUAUUGAUCCAGAAGAAAAGGAAAUAUCAUAUUCGGCUUGAGACUGAGCCGUAAUAGGUUUUUGCAACCAUAACAUUUAGGCAUUAAAAAUAUUAUAUUCUUUGAGGAAGAAUUUUUUAAAUUUUUCUAUCUUUUGUAUGAUAAAAUCUACCUCUGCAUACUUUUAUAAAAACAUUGAAUCAAUUUUAUUGAAUUGUCAAUAUUUUGUAUGGAUACAAAGGAGUGAAAUGAAAUGUUCAAAUUAAUUAAUACAUUUCUUUUAUUUGCAUUCAUAGAUUCAAAUAUAUUUAUUACAUUUGAAAUGUUGCGUGCGACGUAUUUCUUUUUACAAGUACAAAAAAUAUUCGUAGCUACCAAGAUUCGAACCGCUAACCUUUCAAUUAGAAGUCAUCCACGCUGACCACACGACCACGAGUCCAUUUUGAGAAUACAUGUUUCAGAUGGUGUAAAUUAAUACUAUUCCACGCACGAUGUUUGUUUGAAUUUCUUUUAACUAGCAUAUUAUCUGUUGGACUCGAAAUAUUUACACGCUCGUGGGCUCAUAACUAUAAUACGGUGUGUGAUUUAAUUUAUCAAAUAAUAACUCAUGACAAAUAAUUACCAAUUUCAAACCAAAGCGUGAAAAGUAUCAUACCAGCAAUAAAUAUUUAGUUACACAGCUAAAACAAUACUCAUACAACACUGUUUAAAUAUACUGUAUUACAAUAGUAAUUAAGAUAAUACGUACUUGUAAGAACGCCAUUUCCUUGCGAAUAUACUCCCGUGGCGUGUUGCACAACAAUAACCUCGAACCAGUACGCCGCCACGUGCCGGCCGUUCUCUGUACCGUCCGCAACAUACCCGAGAGAUGCCACGCAUGUAGUGGGACAUCGGUAGUGGGACAUCCGUAGUGGGACAUCCGUAGUGGGACAAUUUCGUGCGUGCAGCCAGCGUUCAUCGAUUUAUUAGACGUUGUCACGUCAAAAACAAAAUAGGUUUCUAAUUAAUUAUCUGUAUCUGUUAAAUUUGUUGAGAUGAUAUCUUGAUAAGAAGUAAGGUUGUGAAAAUUUCUACAAAUCAGUUUCUGGAUUUUAUGAAAUUUGAAACUUAAUGAUGUGAAAAGCAGUAAAAUGUUAAGACUCCUGUAAAAUGAGCAUGACCAUGGAGAAAUAAGCAGUUACUUUUUGCCAUAUUUAGAGAUAAACCUCUUUGGUGUGGGCCUGUACUCAAGAAAACAUUCUAACGAUCUCCUUGAAGCAUUGUCGAGUAUUUAAGUCUGCUAUGUUAUGUUGGGGGGGGGGGGGGGGGGUCCGUAUUCCACGUAAUACUUUGCGAAAUUUAUUACUGUGAUAUGUGCACAAAUAUUAUCGACAGCCAGAAGAUAGCGAUGUAACACUCGAUUAAUUUGAACUGCUCUAACUUAGGACUAGAGAGCCGAUAAGGGGAACAUGGGUCGGAUAUAGAGCAGUGUAUGGAAUGAAGGGUGGGGGAAACUGUGCUCUCCAAAUGUCAUUAUUCAAGCACAAUUCACACAUGGGAAAAUAAUUUAUAUCAAAAGAAUACCUCCAAAGAAUUUCCUCAGAAAAGGGCUGUGGGGAGGGCAUGUAUAUUAAAGACAGCUGCCCAACUGUUUACCUUACAUUAUUCCACGCGGGCAAAGUCGUAGCUGGGCAGCUAGUUUUGGUAUAAGAUGACAAUAUGAGGUAUAAAAGCAACAUAAUGUAGU
Long non-coding RNA from Bacillus rossius redtenbacheri, 3000 nucleotides. RefSeq lists it as uncharacterized. The transcript has 2 exons. The record is from RefSeq and is a predicted model, not a curated record. Lineage: Eukaryota; Metazoa; Arthropoda; Insecta; Phasmatodea; Bacillidae.